GGGUGGAGCAGUGGUAGCUCGUCGGGCUCAUAACCCGAAGGUCGGGGGUUCGAAUCCCUCCCCCG
RNAcentral lists this transfer RNA (65 nucleotides) under marine eukaryotic metagenome. It matches the Rfam family "tRNA", at positions 5 to 66 of the family's 71-position model. From Rfam's summary of the family: Transfer RNA (tRNA) molecules are approximately 80 nucleotides in length. Their secondary structure includes four short double-helical elements and three loops (D, anti-codon, and T loops). The record is from RNAcentral.